RNAcentral lists this ribosomal RNA (491 nucleotides) under uncultured bacterium. RNAcentral describes it as "bacterial SSU rRNA". It matches the Rfam family "Bacterial small subunit ribosomal RNA", at positions 29 to 508 of the family's 1533-position model. The record is from RNAcentral.
AGUGAACGCUGGCGGCAGGCCUAACACAUGCAAGUCGAGCGGCAGCGCAGCAGUAGCAAUACUGUGGGCGGCGAGCGGCGGACGGGUGAGGAAUACAUCGGAAUCUGCCUUGUUGUGGGGGAUAACGUAGGGAAACUUACGCUAAUACCGCAUAAGACCGUAAGGUGAAAGCGGGGGAUCGAAAGACCUCGCGCGACAAGAUGAGCCGAUGUCGGAUUAGCUAGUUGGCGGGGUAAUGGCCCACCAAGGCGACGAUCCGUAGCUGGUCUGAGAGGAUGAUCAGCCACACUGGAACUGAGACACGGUCCAGACUCCUACGGGAGGCAGCAGUGGGGAAUAUUGGACAAUGGGCGCAAGCCUGAUCCAGCCAUGCCGCGUGGGUGAAGAAGGCCUUCGGGUUGUAAAGCCCUUUUGUUCGGGACGAAAUCGUACGGGUGAAUAUCCCGUGCGGAUGACGGUACCGAAAGAAUAAGCACCGGCUAACUUCGUGC